RNAcentral lists this small RNA (1273 nucleotides) under Pan troglodytes (chimpanzee). Its description in RNAcentral is "retained intron". The record is from RNAcentral. Lineage: Eukaryota; Metazoa; Chordata; Mammalia; Primates; Hominidae.
AGUUUUACCACAGCACAUGCGCAGUACAGGAUCUGUCUGUUCGUUUGUCGGCGCUACCAAUAAAGUUUUAGUGAGCACAGACUCCCUUUUCUUUGGCAAGAUGGCGGAGUACGACUUGACUACUCGCAUCGCGCACUUUUUGGAUCGGCAUCUAGUCUUUCCGCUUCUUGAGUUUCUCUCUGUAAAGGAGAUAUAUAAUGAAAAGGAAUUAUUACAAGGUAAAUUGGACCUUCUUAGUGAUACCAACAUGGUAGACUUUGCUAUGGAUGUAUACAAAAACCUUUAUUCUGAUGAUAUUCCUCAUGCUUUGAGAGAGAAAAGAACCACAGUGGUUGCACAACUGAAACAGCUUCAGGCAGAAACAGAACCAAUUGUGAAGAUGUUUGAAGAUCCAGAAACUACAAGGCAAAUGCAGUCAACCAGGGAUGGUAGGAUGCUCUUUGACUACCUGGCGGACAAGCAUGGUUUUAGGCAGGAAUAUUUAGAUACACUCUACAGAUAUGCAAAAUUCCAGUACGAAUGUGGGAAUUACUCAGGAGCAGCAGAAUAUCUUUAUUUUUUUAGAGUGCUGGUAAGUAUAAGUACUUUUUUUUUGUCUUUUGUAGGAUUCCCUUGGUUCUUCAAAACAUGUAUAUAGAUAGAUUUGGGUCUGUUCAUUAAGUUUUCAACAGUCAUUGGCAAAAGAGAAAAAAGUAAAGAAAACCCUCCCACUCAAAAACAGAAACUAGAAACCUUGUUUCAGGGCCUCAAAAUUUGGAGGGUGAUUUAACUUGUCCUUGAAAUCCAAAAGUAGGAACAAUUUUAUGAUUUUUAGCAUUAACAGAAUUGUAUCAUGUAAUGGAUUUAUUAUUAUUAUAUUAUACAGCACAGUGAGUGGCACAUUGUAGGUGCUUAAUUAAUAUUGUUGAGUAAAUCCAUUAUUCCUGAUUUAAUACUUUAUCGUAUAUAUAUAUAUAUUCCUUGAACUUGGCUCUAAACAACUGUGGAAUCCUAAGGGUAUGUGAAAUAUUUUAUGCCUUAGUAGUAACUUUUUUCCAGUUACCUCUGCCUUCAGCUAUUGGAAUAUAAAUAUCAAUGGUUUCUUCAUUACGUGGGGUAUAGAUGAGUUUAAAUGGUACUAUUAACCAUGAAGUAUCCUAUUACCGUAUAUUUGACAGGCUUCUAGAUUUAGUGCUUUUGUUAGAGAAGGAGAGUUGUGUGAAGCCAAAUUAAAAAUCAGGCCUUGGCCAAGUGCGGUGGCUCACACCUGUAAUCACAGCACUUUGGGAGGCUG